RNAcentral lists this ribosomal RNA (373 nucleotides) under uncultured Desulfobulbus sp. RNAcentral describes it as "bacterial SSU rRNA". It matches the Rfam family "Bacterial small subunit ribosomal RNA", at positions 1014 to 1382 of the family's 1533-position model. The record is from RNAcentral. Lineage: Bacteria; Pseudomonadati; Thermodesulfobacteriota; Desulfobulbia; Desulfobulbales; Desulfobulbaceae.
CUUCCAUCUGGAAGAAUCUGGAGACAGGUGCUGCAUGGCUGUCGUCAGCUCGUGCCGUGAGAUGUUGGGUUAAGUCCCGCAACGAGCGCAACCCUUGCCUUUAGUUGCCAGCAGUUCGGCUGGGCACUCUAAAGGGACUGCCGGUGUUAAACCGGAGGAAGGUGGGGAUGACGUCAAGUCCUCAUGGCCUUUAUGACCAGGGCUACACACGUACUACAAUGGCCGAUACAAAGGGCAGCGACACUGCGAGGUGAAGCCAAUCCCGUAAAAUCGGUCUCAGUCCGGAUUGGAGUCUGCAACUCGACUCCAUGAAGUUGGAAUCGCUAGUAAUCGUGGAUCCAGCAUGCCACGGUGAAUACGUUCCCGGGCCGUU